UGAGGAAUAUUGGUCAAUGGGCGUUAGCCUGAACCAGCCAAGUAGCGUGAAGGAUGAAGGCUCUCUGGGUCGUAAACUUCUUUUAUAUAAGAAUAAAGUGCAGUAUGUAUACUGUUUUGUAUGUAUUAUAUGAAUAAGGAUCGGCUAACUCCGUGCCAGCAGCCGCGGUAAUACGGAGGAUCCGAGCGUUAUCCGGAUUUAUUGGGUUUAAAGGGAGCGUAGGUGGACUGGUAAGUCAGUUGUGAAAGUUUGCGGCUCAACCGUAAAAUUGCAGUUGAUACUGUCAGUCUUGAGUACAGUAGAGGUGGGCGGAAUUCGUGGUGUAGCGGUGAAAUGCUUAGAUAUCACGAAGAACUCCGAUUGCGAAGGCAGCUCACUGGACUGCAACUGACACUGAUGCUCGAAAGUGUGGGUAUCAAACAGG
RNAcentral lists this ribosomal RNA (424 nucleotides) under Acidobacteriota bacterium. RNAcentral describes it as "Acidobacteria bacterium partial 16S ribosomal RNA". It matches the Rfam family "Bacterial small subunit ribosomal RNA", at positions 355 to 776 of the family's 1533-position model. Lineage: Bacteria; Pseudomonadati; Acidobacteriota. The record is from RNAcentral.